Cygnus olor (mute swan) is the source of this 4232-nucleotide long non-coding RNA. RefSeq lists it as uncharacterized. The record is from RefSeq and is a predicted model, not a curated record. Lineage: Eukaryota; Metazoa; Chordata; Aves; Anseriformes; Anatidae. The transcript has 3 exons.
UAGGGCCAGUCAACAGCUUUCUGUAAAUUACUUGUUGCCAGCUGGCAGAAAUGUGGCUAGUGGCUCAUGUUGAUCCUGUAGGUGAAGAGAUGGGUGAUGCAACUGACUAGAAGACAAUGAUGAAAAAUAAAGGGCAGUUUUUGAAGUAAAAUAAUAAGGAAAUAACUAAAAAUAAUAAUUUUGUUUCUAGAAGACUGGAAGGCUCAGUAGUAAUGUUUGUCUUGCAUCUCAGUUUGCUGUAGCCAAAGCUGAGGCAGGAAAAUUUAAAAAUGAAUUCUGUAGAUUUAUUAGGUUAACAUAAAUGGUGAUCUCUCUCUCUUGUUUUCCCUCUCCUUCUCUUCCUCUUUCUCCCUCUUUCUCUCUCCUUCUCUCCCUCCCCCCUUUUUUUUGUAUAAAGAAGUUUUGCAGACUUGAUAGAGGCAUGUGCAGCGUGAGAUUAUCGAGAAAAUGAUAGUUUUUAGCAAAGAUCUUGGAUCUCCCCCUUGUACCCCAAGGUUUCUGAGACGUAAAUGUGAAUGUAGACUUAGCAGGGUCAGAGGCAACUGGGGACCCAAAAUGAAGGACAAAAAAAAAAAGAAAAAUGUGAAAGAUUUAUUUACAGUUCUCCCAAACCAUAAUGAAAUGAAACACCGUUUUUGAGAGUUGUGGCCUGACUGGAGCCCUAGUGAUGAUGAUACUCUCUUAGUCCUGAACAAAAAAAAAUUGCUUGGGGCCUGAUCUAAGGCAAUCUUUGAGUUUCUAUCAUGAACAUGCAAGCGACUUAUGUAGCUAAUUCUGAGCACAGCUUUAAAAAGGAGGAGAAAGCGUUUUGUUUUGCUAGAUUAGUGUUUAAUGCCCUUGGUUUUCAAGGGAAAGAGUAACCAUGAUUAUAUGAACAAACGUAGGCCACUGAUACAAAAAAAUGAAGGGAUUGAAAUUAGUAUGUCAUUUUUAUUACCCACAUUUUUCUAGAUGCACUGGUACUUGGCACUUGUAUUCAAUUUAUUUCUGACAUUUCAGUCGAGUUUUUUUUGGAAGUGUGGAUUAAAACUUCCCACCUAAACAUCAAGGAUUUUAAAUGAAACUGAUGAGUCUAAAUGUCUUAAGCAUCAAUAGAAAAAUGAUCCCUUCUCUUAUAUAAUUAAAUGUAUUGUAUUAAUGUGUGCAUAAUGCAGAAUCAAUAAAUAAUGAAUUACCACUGAUUGUAAUUGAAUGUUUUCAUAAUUUUAUUGUCAGCCAUGAUAAAUAAUCAGUACAUUUAUACUGCAUUAAAUUAAUUAGUGUGUCAUUUCUAUUACAUACAUCAGCAGUGAAGUAAUGCAGUGACAUCUGUUUCUAAUGUUUUAAAGAUGUGGUAUUCCUUAUUAAGUAAAAGGAAGAGUUAUUAGAGGUAUUUCCUGUGAUUGGCAGUUAUACUGGUACAAUUGAAAGAGAUCAAAUAAAGGAACUUGCACUCUUGGCACAUGCUGGAUUUCAACCCCCUAAUGGCAGAGAGCAACAAUGAUUGGAGUGAAUUUUGCUUCUCUGGGCUUUUAGGAAGUCCUGCCUGCCUUGUUACAGAAGGUCAGCUAAAGAAAGCAAAAAUUUUCUGGCACCGUCUGUUCAAGUAUCGCAACCCUAAUCUGAAGGCACCACCAUCUAGUGGGAUAAGAAGGCUAUUUCUGAAACACCAUGAUUGACCAAGAUGUUAGAAGCUGGAAUAUACAAACAGUGGAGUUGCUAGGACGGAAAGCACCAAACUCUGCUUUGUAACAUCCUGUUUUAUAAUUGCAUAAUUACAGUAAUUCUUACCAAUUCAUGAUGUUAUUGAUACUGAAUUUUGUUGUCAUUUUCAGCAGAUGAAAAGAAACAGAAGGCAUUAGUUAUUAAAAGAAUGAUUGAAAAAUGCAAAGUCAACACUUAGAAUAUGUAAAGAAGCUGUAAAAACAAUUUGUUACAUAUACAAAAUGCAUAUAUUCUGCAAGAGUUUAUAAUUUAAUUCCUUACUAGCAUAGAUACGUUAGUAAGUAUGUUAACAACUGUGUAUGUUUGAAUAUAUUUAACUUCUAUUGUUUGCUUUCUCUUCUAAUUUAUCCUUCAUUAGUCAAAAACAGUUCUUCAAAUUACCCUUGUAGAAAAAUGGCUUACUUCGUAAAAAUCCCUUACACUUGUCAGGGAUCCUCCUCAAGUUUAUUCAGUGGCAGGCAGGCUCUGUUGGUUUAAUCCUCUGCUGCAGUUUCUGUGAAGAAGCCUUAUGGAACUUCUUCACAGAUUUUCUCCAGGUUUCCUCCAUGUAACUUGCUAGCUCUCUACUGCAUUCUCAAGCUGACCACUAAUUUUUCUAGUUUUUGAUCAAGGCCCAGAAUCUUUAAAACUUGCAAUAAACUGAGUGAAAACUUUUAAGUUUAAGUCCUUGUGACUCAUCUUCCCGUAUGGGGACAGCCGUGUACUUUUCAGUCGCAGAAGUGGUCAUGUGUUGGCGGAGGAACUACCAUUUCUUAGGUUUAAUUUCAGUACUGCUUUUUCUUUGGUUUCAAGCACAUAUAUGUUAUAGUAUCUGCAUUAUUUCUGCAGAUGAAAAAAAAUCUUCCAGCAAACCUGUCUGUUUCUGAAUUUAUUAGGGGAUUGUUCAUACGAGGAUACCACAUUUUUCCAGUUUUGCUGGAGUCAUUUCCAAGUUGAUGAUUUUUCUAUCUAACAGCCUACACAUUUGAUGAAGAAUACACAGGGUUUGGCUUAUUUCACGUUUGGCAAUUGAGAAAUCUGUUUUAAGUGAGGAAAACAGAAUUGCAACUCAUGUCUACAUAAAUCAAUAUGAUUUACGUGGCUGUGGUUAGACAGUUUCCUUACAUCUUUUGUGGUUCAACUGCCAUGAUGCUUAAUCCUAAUUAAAAAUCCACAGUAUUUCCAGAAUACAUUUUUGGCUUUUACAUCAGCCUCUUCUCUAAUGCUAGGCAGGAACGGCCUGCUGCACAGUCCUAUAUAUGCAGUGUGGAUAUUCCACACUUCAAAAUUAUCUUGACAUCAGUGUAGGAAAACUGAUUUUGCCAUUUUAUUGACCGGUCUUAACUUGGGAGUUCUAGUAACGUUGAACACAUUUACAGAAUCAUGACACAAUGGUAAGUAGCAUUUUUUUUUUAUUCAUUUGAAUAGGAAGAACUGGUAAGCCAUAUACAGUGUAAAGUCUGAAAUAAAAAGGUUAAAAAGUGAUGUGCAAACUUCUGCCAGAAACACCACCUUGUCAAGGUAGUCUCAACAACCUCUUACAUAUGUUAAAGAACAUUUCACCAGGGAAAUUAAGGAAACUUCUGGAGAGGAAUACAUUGCUUUAAGAAAUUACACGGUAUAAACCCAAAACACUGUCACAAACUCCUGAUUAUUUUUUCAUUGACAUGUCCAAAAAAAAUUUAGUCGUUUGCUUAAGUAUAUUGAGAUUAUUUCAGUUUCAAUAAUAGUUUACACCAUUCUGUCUCUAUCUUGGUAGUACUACAAAAUACAUAUUUUUUAUCAAGAGAAAAGAUGCAGAAUGAAGAUUAGGAAGGUAAAAGGGUGUUUUACAAACAUGCCUAAAUGAUUAAAAAAACAAACAAACCACAAACACUAAAAGAGAAGCAGCAAUAUUAAUUCACAUGCCAUACCAAAUGACUUAAGUCACUGUUAAAGAGCACUGAGAGAAGUAAUCUAACGAAAUCAAAAACUGAACUGACACCACAUACCGCAUAUAAAUGCACUAACAGCAUGCUUUUAGGGUAAUGUAAAUCAAGAUACAGUCUGAUUCUACUACCAGUAGUUUACUAAAUCUCCAAUUCCUAAAGAAAGUUUCCUCCGUGUCUCUAAGAGACAAGCAGUAAAAACUGCAGCGUGUGAGUCACCAUCCUAGGUUCAUCAGCUAUUUCAAGCAUGAAAGAAUAACCUGUGGCAAAAACAUUAACUGAACUUUUCAGCCAUUGCAUAGACCAUCUCCUUUAUCCUGCAUACUGGUAGUUUUAGGACUCCUUAAAAAUCCUUAAUGAAGCUGUAGUGGAGCCUUUUUUGCAUAUUCUGCCAGUUGUGCUGGACAAAGCAGACUGAUCAAAGCUAUGAUCCUGUUUCUUUCUCCUCUGUACUCAGUUUGUACAAGAAUGUUUUGACUGCAAUGAGAGACUGACAGAAUUCUUGAAGAAUGUUGUUAAUUAACAAAUUGGCAAAAGAGACUUGUUGCUUUGCAUGCUUACAGAAGUAGAGCAAAUCUAAUUCUCCUUUCCCAUCUCUGAAAAAAAUAUAAUUUACUCCUA